This 1352-nucleotide ribosomal RNA is filed under the name uncultured bacterium. Its description in RNAcentral is "bacterial SSU rRNA". It matches the Rfam family "Bacterial small subunit ribosomal RNA", at positions 28 to 1381 of the family's 1533-position model. The record is from RNAcentral.
AUUGAACGCUGGCGGCAUGCCUUACACAUGCAAGUCGAACGGCAGCACGGAGCUUGCUCUGGUGGCGAGUGGCGAACGGGUGAGUAAUAUAUCGGAACGUACCCUAGAGUGGGGGAUAACGUAGCGAAAGUUACGCUAAUACCGCAUACGAUCUAAGGAUGAAAGUGGGGGAUCGCAAGACCUCAUGCUCGUGGAGCGGCCGAUAUCUGAUUAGCUAGUUGGUAGGGUAAAAGCCUACCAAGGCAUCGAUCAGUAGCUGGUCUGAGAGGACGGCCAGCCACACUGGAACUGAGACACGGUCCAGACUCCUACGGGAGGCAGCAGUGGGGAAUUUUGGACAAUGGGCGAAAGCCUGAUCCAGCAAUGCCGCGUGAGUGAAGAAGGCCUUCGGGUUGUAAAGCUCUUUUGUCAGGGAAGAAACGGUGAGAGCUAAUAUCUCUUGCUAAUGACGGUACCUGAAGAAUAAGCACCGGCUAACUACGUGCCAGCAGCCGCGGUAAUACGUAGGGUGCAAGCGUUAAUCGGAAUUACUGGGCGUAAAGCGUGCGCAGGCGGUUUUGUAAGUCUGAUGUGAAAUCCCCGGGCUCAACCUGGGAAUUGCAUUGGAGACUGCAAGGCUAGAAUCUGGCAGAGGGGGGUAGAAUUCCACGUGUAGCAGUGAAAUGCGUAGAUAUGUGGAGGAACACCGAUGGCGAAGGCAGCCCCCUGGGUCAAGAUUGACGCUCAUGCACGAAAGCGUGGGGAGCAAACAGGAUUAGAUACCCUGGUAGUCCACGCCCUAAACGAUGUCUACUAGUUGUCGGGUCUUAAUUGACUUGGUAACGCAGCUAACGCGUGAAGUAGACCGCCUGGGGAGUACGGUCGCAAGAUUAAAACUCAAAGGAAUUGACGGGGACCCGCACAAGCGGUGGAUGAUGUGGAUUAAUUCGAUGCAACGCGAAAAACCUUACCUACCCCUGACAUGGCUGGAAUCCCCGAGAGAUUGGGGAGUGCUCGAAAGAGAACCAGUACACAGGUGCUGCAUGGCUGUCGUCAGCUCGUGUCGUGAGAUGUUGGGUUAAGUCCCGCAACGAGCGCAACCCUUGUCAUUAGUUGCUACGAAAGGGCACUCUAAUGAGACUGCCGGUGACAAACCGGAGGAAGGUGGGGAUGACGUCAAGUCCUCAUGGCCCUUAUGGGUAGGGCUUCACACGUCAUACAAUGGUACAUACAGAGCGCCGCCAACCCGCGAGGGGGAGCUAAUCGCAGAAAGUGUAUCGUAGUCCGGAUUGUAGUCUGCAACUCGACUGCAUGAAGUUGGAAUCGCUAGUAAUCGCGGAUCAGCAUGUCGCGGUGAAUACGUUCCCGGGUCU